RNAcentral lists this ribosomal RNA (525 nucleotides) under uncultured bacterium. RNAcentral's name for it is "bacterial SSU rRNA". It matches the Rfam family "Bacterial small subunit ribosomal RNA", at positions 55 to 569 of the family's 1533-position model. The record is from RNAcentral.
AUGCAAGUCGAGCGGAAACGAAGAGGUGCUUGCACCUCUGGCGUCGAGCGGCGGACGGGUGAGUAAUGCUUGGGAAUAUGCCUUAUGGUGGGGGACAACAGUUGGAAACGACUGCUAAUACCGCAUAAUGUCUACGGACCAAAGUGGGGGACCGUCGGGCCUCACGCCAUAAGAUUAGCCCAAGUGGGAUUAGCUAGUUGGUGAGGUAAUGGCUCACCAAGGCGACGAUCCCUAGCUGGUUUGAGAGGAUGAUCAGCCACACUGGGACUGAGACACGGCCCAGACUCCUACGGGAGGCAGCAGUGGGGAAUAUUGCACAAUGGGCGCAAGCCUGAUGCAGCCAUGCCGCGUGUGUGAAGAAGGCCUUCGGGUUGUAAAGCACUUUCAGUAAGGAGGAAAGGUUAAGUGUUAAUAGCACUUAGCUGUGACGUUACUUACAGAAGAAGCACCGGCUAACUCCGUGCCAGCAGCCGCGGUAAUACGGAGGGUGCGAGCGUNAAUCGGAAUUACUGGGCGCAAAGCGUA